CUUUUUCUCGCGGGAGUGGGAAUUUGUGCGAGCGCCAGCGUGCACCUCUGUUCAUGGUGCAUGAACGCGCACGCUGCAUGUGUGUGUGCUUCCCUCAUGUGUGCGUGCAUGCUCUGCUAUGCGUGUACAUGCAAGUGAACGUGCCUUUUUGGUCGUGUACCCGUGUGCUCCAAGGCAAUCUCUCCUAUAGGCGCUCUGAACCUCGCGGGUGUCCUGCUCUUCUUAGGACACUUCUUC
This 237-nucleotide long non-coding RNA is filed under the name Carica papaya (papaya). RNAcentral's name for it is "long non-coding RNA (CPAP_LNC008223)". The record is from RNAcentral. Lineage: Eukaryota; Viridiplantae; Streptophyta; Magnoliopsida; Brassicales; Caricaceae.